This 461-nucleotide ribosomal RNA is filed under the name uncultured bacterium. RNAcentral describes it as "bacterial SSU rRNA". It matches the Rfam family "Bacterial small subunit ribosomal RNA", at positions 340 to 793 of the family's 1533-position model. The record is from RNAcentral.
UACGGGAGGCAGCAGUGGGGAAUAUUGCACAAUGGGCGCAAGCCUGAUGCAGCCAUGCCGCGUGUAUGAAGAAGGCCUUCGGGUUGUAAAGUACUUUCAGCAGUGAGGAAGGCGGGUACGUUAAUAGCGUGCUUGUUUGACGUUAGCUGCAGAAGAAGCACCGGCUAACUCCGUGCCAGCAGCCGCGGUAAUACGGAGGGUGCGAGCGUUAAUCGGAAUUACUGGGCGUAAAGCGCAUGCAGGUGGUUUGUUAAGUCAGAUGUGAAAGCCCGGGGCUCAACCUCGGAAUUGCAUUUGAAACUGGCAGACUAGAGUACUGUAGAGGGGGUAGAAUUUCAGGUGUAGCGGUGAAAAUGCGUAGAGAUCUGAAGGAAUACCGGUGGCGAAGGCGGCCCCCUGGACAGAUACUGACACUCAGAUGCGAAAGCGUGGGGAGCAAACAGGAUUAGAUACCCUGGUAG